This 450-nucleotide ribosomal RNA is filed under the name uncultured bacterium. RNAcentral's name for it is "bacterial SSU rRNA". It matches the Rfam family "Bacterial small subunit ribosomal RNA", at positions 15 to 507 of the family's 1533-position model. The record is from RNAcentral.
GAUCAUGGCUCAGGAUAAACGCUGGCGGCGUGCCUAACACAUGCAAGUCGAACGAUCCCGCAAGGGAGAGUGGCGGAAGGGUGAGUAACACGUGGGAAUCUACCUCCUCGCAGGGAACAACCUCUCGAAAGAGAGGCUAAUACCCAAAAGGGUCAGAAAUGAUCAGAGUCGAAAGGUGUGAGGAGAGGAGCCCGCGGCCCAUCAGCUAGUUGGUGAGGUAAUGGCUUACCAAGGCUACGACGGGUAGGGGAUCUGAGAGGAUGUCCCCCACACUGGAACUGAAACACGGUCCAGACGCCUACGGGUGGCAGCAGUGAGGAAUAUUGGACAAUGGGCGAAAGCCCGAUCCAGCAACGCCGCGUGGAGGAUGAAGGCCUUCGGGUCGUAAACUUCUUUAGAGGGAGACGAGAAAGGACGGUAUCCCUAGAAUAAGCGACGGCAAACUACGUG